CCUACGGGUGGCAGCAGUAGGGAAUAUUGCGCAAUGGGGGGAACCCUGACGCAGCGACGCCGCGUGAGCGAAGAAGGCCUUCGGGUCGUAAAGCUCUGUCCUAUGGGACGAGAGAGGACGGUACCAUAGGAGGAAGCCCCGACUAACUACGUGCCAGCAGUCGCGGUAAUACGUAGGGGGCGAGCGUUGUCCGGAAUUACUGGGCGUAAAGGGUGCGUAGGCGGGCUGACAAGUCUGAUGUGAAAACUCUGGGCUUAACCGAGAGCAGGCAUUGGAAACUGUCAGUCUUGAGUGCAGGAGAGGGAAGCGGCAUUCCCGGUGUAGCGGUGGAAUGCGUAGAUAUCGGGAGGAACACCAGUGGCGAAGGCGGCUUUCUGGACUGUAACUGACGCUGAGGCACGAAAGCUGGGGGAGCGAACAGGAUUAGAUACCCCAGUAGUC
This 441-nucleotide ribosomal RNA is filed under the name uncultured bacterium. RNAcentral's name for it is "bacterial SSU rRNA". It matches the Rfam family "Bacterial small subunit ribosomal RNA", at positions 338 to 795 of the family's 1533-position model. The record is from RNAcentral.